RNAcentral lists this ribosomal RNA (454 nucleotides) under uncultured bacterium. Its description in RNAcentral is "partial 16S ribosomal RNA". It matches the Rfam family "Bacterial small subunit ribosomal RNA", at positions 355 to 820 of the family's 1533-position model. The record is from RNAcentral.
UGGGGAAUAUUGCACAAUGGGCGAAAGCCUGAUGCAGCGACGCCGCGUGAGGGAUGACGGCCUUCGGGUUGUAAACCUCUUUCAGCAGGGAAGAAGCGAAAGUGACGGUACCUGCAGAAGAAGCGCCGGCUAACUACGUGCCAGCAGCCGCGGUAAUACGUAGGGCGCAAGCGUUGUCCGGAAUUAUUGGGCGUAAAGAGCUCGUAGGCGGUUAGUCGCGUCUGCUGUGAAAAUCUCGAGGCUCAACCUCGGGCUUGCAGUGGGUACGGGCUGACUAGAGUGCGGUAGGGGUGACUGGAAUUCCUGGUGUAGCGGUGGAAUGCGCAGAUAUCAGGAGGAACACCGAUGGCGAAGGCAGGUCACUGGGCCGCAACUGACGCUGAGGAGCGAAAGCAUGGGGAGCGAACAGGAUUAGAUACCCUGGUAGUCCAUGCCGUAAACGUUGGGCACUAGG